This 490-nucleotide ribosomal RNA is filed under the name uncultured bacterium. RNAcentral's name for it is "bacterial SSU rRNA". It matches the Rfam family "Bacterial small subunit ribosomal RNA", at positions 29 to 507 of the family's 1533-position model. The record is from RNAcentral.
AUGAACGCUAGCUACAGGCUUGACACAUGCAAGUCGAGGGGCAGCAUGGUCUUAGCUUGCUAACGGCCGAGUGGCGACCGGCGCACGGGUGAGUAACACGUAUCCAACCUGCCGUCUACUCUUGGACAGCCUUCUGAAAGGAAGAUUAAUACAAGAUGGCAUCAUGAGUCCGCAUGUUCACAUGAUUAAAGGUAUUCCGGUAGACGAUGGGGAUGCGUUCCAUUAGAUAGUAGGCGGGGUAACGGCCCACCUAGUCUUCGAUGGAUAGGGGUUCUGAGAGGAAGGUCCCCCACAUUGGAACUGAGACACGGUCCAAACUCCUACGGGAGGCAGCAGUGAGGAAUAUUGGUCAAUGGGCGAGAGCCUGAACCAGCCAAGUAGCGUGAAGGAUGACUGCCCUAUGGGUUGUAAACUUCUUUAUAAAGGAAUAAAGUCGGGUAUGCAUACCCGUUUGCAUGUACUUUAUGAAUAAGGAUCGGCUAACUCCGUG